This 119-nucleotide ribosomal RNA is filed under the name Pteropus alecto (black flying fox). The record is from RNAcentral. Lineage: Eukaryota; Metazoa; Chordata; Mammalia; Chiroptera; Pteropodidae.
GCCUACAGCCAUGUCACCCUGAAUGUGCCCAACCUCAUCUGAUCUCAGAAGCUAAGCAGGGUUGGACCUGUUUAGUACGUGGAUGAGAGACCACCUAGGAAUACCAGGUGCUGAAGGUG